UCGAGCGCAGGAAGCAAGUUGAUCCCCUUCGGGGGUGACGCUUGUGGAAUGAGCGGCGGACGGGUGAGUAACACGUGGGCAACCUGCCUGUAAGACUGGGAUAACCCCGGGAAACCGGGGCUAAUACCGGAUAAUACUUUCUUUUGCAUAAAGGAAAGUUGAAAGGCGGCUUCGGCUGUCACUUACAGAUGGGCCCGCGGCGCAUUAGCUAGUUGGUGAGGUAACGGCUCACCAAGGCGACGAUGCGUAGCCGACCUGAGAGGGUGAUCGGCCACACUGGGACUGAGACACGGCCCAGACUCCUACGGGAGGCAGCAGUAGGGAAUCUUCCGCAAUGGACGAAAGUCUGACGGAGCAACGCCGCGUGAGUGAUGAAGGUUUUCGGAUCGUAAAACUCUGUUGUUAGGGAAGAACAAGUUGGGUAGUAACUGACCCAACCUUGACGGUACCUAACCAGAAAGCCACGGCUAACUACGUGCCAGCAGCCGCGGUAAUACGUAGGUGGCAAGCGUUGUCCGGAAUUAUUGGGCGUAAAGCGCUCGCAGGCGGUCCUUUAAGUCUGAUGUGAAAUCUCGCGGCUCAACCGCGAACGGUCAUUGGAAACUGGAGGACUUGAGUACAGAAGAGGAGAGUGGAAUUCCACGUGUAGCGGUGAAAUGCGUAGAGAUGUGGAGGAACACCAGUGGCGAAGGCGACUCUCUGGUCUGUAACUGACGCUGAGGAGCGAAAGCGUGGGGAGCGAACAGGAUUAGAUACCCUGGUAGUCCACGCCGUAAACGAUGAGUGCUAGGU
Molecule: ribosomal RNA, 792 nt
Filed under: Oceanobacillus sp.
Lineage: Bacteria; Bacillati; Bacillota; Bacilli; Caryophanales; Bacillaceae
Description: bacterial SSU rRNA
Rfam family: Bacterial small subunit ribosomal RNA
Source: RNAcentral